GAUACGUACUACAUGGAUAACUGUAGUAAUUCUAGAGCUAAUACAUGCCACUAUGCCCUGACCCGCAAGGGAACGGGUGGAUUUAUUAGAACAGAACCAACCGGUUGUGGCUUCGGCUGCUUCCGUUGCACUCUGUGAUGACUCUGGAUAACUUCACUGAUCGCAGUCGGCCUUGUGUCGGCGACGGAUCUUUCAAAUGUCUGCCCUAUCAAUUUUCGAUGGUAGGUGACCUGCCUACCAUGGUGAUAACGGGUAACGGGGAAUCAGGGUUCGAUUCCGGAGAGGGAGCCUGAGAAACGGCUACCACUUCCAAGGAAGGCAGCAGGCGCGCAAAUUACCCAAUCCCAGCACGGGGAGGUAGUGACGAAAAAUACGGAUACGGGACUCAUCAGAGGCUCCGUAAUUCGAAUGAGUACAAUUUAAAUCCUUUAACGAGGAUCCACUGGAGGGCAAGUCUGGUGCCAGCAGCCGCGGUAACUCCAGCUCCAGAAGCGUAUAUUAAAGUUGUUGCAGUUAAAAAGCUCGUAGUUGGAUCUGGGUCGCAUGGCUACAUGCCGUUACUUGCAUUUCUGGUCUGGUUGCGAUCAGAUCGGGUUUGUGGUUCGGUGUCGUGGUUGUGCAGCCUUUCUGCCGUGUCUGUUUUACAGGUGCUGGUUAUCGGCAAGUUCGCUUACCUUUAGCUGGCAUGCUUCUUGAUGCCCUUAACCGGGUGUCGGAUGCGGACGGCACGUUUACUUUGAACAAAUUUGAGUGCUCAAAGCAGGCCCUUGAGCCUGAAAAUUCUUGCAUGGAAUAAUGAAAUAGGACUUCGGUUCUAUUUUGUUGGUUUUCGGAUCCGAAGUAAUGGUUAAGAGGGACAAACGGGGGCAUUUGUAUGGCGGUGUUAGAGGUGAAAUUCUUGGAUCACCGCCAGACAAACUACAGCGAAAGCAUUUGCCAAGGAUGUUUUCAUUGAUCUGGAGCGAAAGUCAGAGGUUCGAAGACGAUCAGAUACCGUCCUAGUUCUGACCAUAAACGAUGCCAACUGACGAUCCGCGGUGGUUCUUUUAUUGUCCUCGCGGGCAGUCCCCGGGAAACCUUUAAGUUUUGUCUCCAGGCAA
Molecule: ribosomal RNA, 1100 nt
Filed under: Encyclometra sp. AC-2016
Lineage: Eukaryota; Metazoa; Platyhelminthes; Trematoda; Plagiorchiida; Encyclometridae
Description: SSU rRNA
Rfam family: Eukaryotic small subunit ribosomal RNA
Source: RNAcentral